GCCUUUGUCUGCAAAGAUUUAUACGUGGUGGUCUCAAUCCUUCAGCAGAGACACUGACUUUGCAUCAGCUGUACUGUUCUGAGAGCGAUCCUCCUUGGGAUCAAUAGGUAGGGACGACUAGUCAGUCGUCGAUCAAAGGAUCCGCACUCUAUGGCGUCCUACUCACCUUUGCUGUCGCAUAUGACGCAUCGAACCCUGCCAACACCGUGGAUUCCAGUGAAGCACUCCUCCAGCAGCGGUGUAGCACCAUCUACAAGGCACUGCAGACACACACAUGUCUUAAGAAGGGCCUUAACGCUUCGAACACCAGAUGGUAAUGCCAAAGAGUUCUAUCAAGUGCGUUCAUGCCUUGGCAAGCUCCUUUUCUCUCUGCAGGUGCACCAGACUUGCUGACAUCCUAGUCUCUCAGGCUUUCUUUCCGUCCAGGAUACGAUCAGCAUA
Molecule: long non-coding RNA, 441 nt
Filed under: Coccomyxa subellipsoidea
Lineage: Eukaryota; Viridiplantae; Chlorophyta; Trebouxiophyceae; Coccomyxaceae
Description: long non-coding RNA (CSUB_LNC000246)
Source: RNAcentral